GCUGCCGUAAAAGGCUAGAGGACAAACAAAAUGCUGCACAGGCCCAAAUAAAGACAACUAUAGACACAUAGCAGAGGUUUCCUGCUUCAAGUAGCUAUUAUAUUAACCUACACUUUAGGCAAAGAGCAUUUUAGGUUUCACACUGAUGAAAACAUAGGAUGAGCAGAAGCAUCAAUAAAAGUUGCACCUUUAAUGAAACAGAUGAAACAGGCCAGCAAAGCUGUGAUCUUCUCCUUUCAAAACCUUGUCACUGCCGUUCAGCAGAAAUCCCACAGGUAUGGGACCAUCCUGCUAGAACAAAAUGCAUGUACUGGAACUCCAGUGCCAUUUUUGCAAAGACUCUGGAUACACUGAAGGCAUUUCUCAGCAUGAUCUGCAAGGGAAAAUAUUGAAGAAGCCAGAAAAAGAGGGAAGCAAAACCACCUCCAAUGCACCAAGUGUUUUUGCAGAAACAGCAGCAUGGCCGAGGUACCUCCAUCCCUUCACUCCGAUGGCAGUCACAUCACAGGAUCUGCAAGGAGUGGAUCUACGAGAAGUGUCGUUUGAAUUCCUGUGACACUGCAUGCGAGGGGACCUGGUUCAAUUACCUGAUAGAAGUACACAGACUUCUUGUUUGAGACAAACUGGGGAAAGCACUGCUUGGGGACACUGAUUAACACCUUCCAACACAGUUCUGAUUACUUUAAUCCAGUCACUUAGCUUACCAGCAAAUUAUCUCUUUUCAAGAUAGUGGGGUUUGCUGACGCAGGGAAUCUCAUCUUGCAGUGAUUCCUGAUAUUUCAAACAUUCUUUUCCUCCAAAUCAGAACAAAAUCCCUUCAAAUUUUAUUAUUUUAUGAACCUUUUUUUUUUCCAAUCUUCUGGUUAAAAUUUAUUUUUGAAUCACUUUUAUCAUUACAAUUCUUAUUAUUAAUGGGUAAUAAAUAAACAACAUUUAGAAUCCA
This 943-nucleotide long non-coding RNA is filed under the name Zonotrichia albicollis (white-throated sparrow). RNAcentral describes it as "lncRNA (ENSZALG00000005715.1)". Lineage: Eukaryota; Metazoa; Chordata; Aves; Passeriformes; Passerellidae. The record is from RNAcentral.